This 483-nucleotide ribosomal RNA is filed under the name uncultured bacterium. Its description in RNAcentral is "partial 16S ribosomal RNA". It matches the Rfam family "Bacterial small subunit ribosomal RNA", at positions 30 to 507 of the family's 1533-position model. The record is from RNAcentral.
UUGAACGCUGGCGGCAGGCCUAACCCAUGCAAGUCGAGCGGAUGAAGGGAGCUUGCUCCUGGAUUCAGCGGCGGACGGGUGAGUAAUGCCUAGGAAUCUGCCUGGUAGUGGGGGAUAACGUCCGGAAACGGGCGCUAAUACCGCAUACGUCCUGAGGGAGAAAGUGGGGGAUCUUCGGACCUCACGCUAUCAGAUGAGCCUAGGUCGGAUUAGCUAGUUGGUGGGGUAAAGGCCUACCAAGGCGACGAUCCGUAACUGGUCUGAGAGGAUGAUCAGUCACACUGGAGCUGAGACACGGUCCAGACUCCUACGGGAGGCAGCAGUGGGGAAUAUUGGACAAUGGGCGAAAGCCUGAUCCAGCCAUGCCGCGUGUGUGAAGAAGGUCUUCGGAUUGUAAAGCACUUUAAGUUGGGAGGAAGGGCAGUAAGUUAAUACCUUGCUGUUUUGACGUUACCAACAGAAUAAGCACCGGCUAACUUCGUG